This is a long non-coding RNA of Calypte anna (Anna's hummingbird), 226 nucleotides long. RefSeq lists it as uncharacterized. The record is from RefSeq and is a predicted model, not a curated record. NCBI's taxonomy places the organism in Eukaryota, Metazoa, Chordata, Aves, Apodiformes, Trochilidae. The transcript is spliced from 3 exons.
UCUCCCCGCCCGGCGGCGGAGGCAACGGUCCGCGGGGCCGGCGCGGCUGGGGUGCCUCGCAGGCCGCGGCGGGCAGAUGCCAGAAAGCCUGCCCGGGCCUUCGUCCCCCUAAAUGGAGACUCGGGGAGCGCUCCGAAGCUCCCCGCUCCCGGAGCGCCCGCUCGGGCAGAGCUCGUCCCGCUCGGGUCGCCAGGGUUGACGUCGGGGCCGUGUGCCUCGGUGGUGA